AUACGGAGGAUCCGAGCGUUAUCCGGAUUUAUUGGGUUUAAAGGGAGCGCAGGCGGAGAUGCAAGCGUGACGUCAAAUUUCGGGGCUCAACCCCGUCUCGCGUCGCGAACUGCGUCCCUUGGUUGCGGGAAGGGGAGGCGGAACUCGUGGUGUAGCGGUGAAAUGCAUAGAUAUCACGAAGAACUCCGAUCGCGAAGGCAGCCUUCCGGCCCGUCAACGACGCUCAUGCUCGAAGGUGCGGGUAUCAAACAGGAUUAGAUACCCUGGUAGUCCGCACAGUAAACGAUGGACACCCGCGGUUUGGCCUGUAUGGCUGAGCCGCCAAGCGAAAGCGUUAAGUGUCCCACCUGGGGAGUACGCCGGCGACGGUGAAACUCAAAUGAAUUGGCGGGG
This 393-nucleotide ribosomal RNA is filed under the name uncultured bacterium. Its description in RNAcentral is "partial 16S ribosomal RNA". It matches the Rfam family "Bacterial small subunit ribosomal RNA", at positions 523 to 918 of the family's 1533-position model. The record is from RNAcentral.